RNAcentral lists this ribosomal RNA (253 nucleotides) under uncultured bacterium. Its description in RNAcentral is "partial 16S ribosomal RNA". It matches the Rfam family "Bacterial small subunit ribosomal RNA", at positions 524 to 776 of the family's 1533-position model. The record is from RNAcentral.
UACGUAGGGUGCAAGCAUUAAUCGGAUUUAUUGGGCGUAAAGAGCGCGUAGGCGGGAAGGUCAGUCGAAUGUUAAAUCUCAGGGCUCAACUCUGAAACUGCAUUCGAAACUGCCUUUCUUGAGGUUGGACGGAGAAAGCGGAAUUCCAAGUGUAGCGGUGAAAUGCGUAGAUAUUUGGAAGAACACCUGUGGCGAAAGCGGCUUUCUAGUUUAUACCUGACGCUGAGGCGCGAAAGCAAGGGGAGCGAACAGG